Molecule: ribosomal RNA, 479 nt
Filed under: uncultured bacterium
Lineage: Bacteria
Description: partial 16S ribosomal RNA
Rfam family: Bacterial small subunit ribosomal RNA
Source: RNAcentral
GAUGAACGCUAGCGGGAGGCCUAACACAUGCAAGCCGAGCGGUAGAGUCUCUUCGGAGACUUGAGAGCGGCGCACGGGUGCGGAACACGUGUGCAACCUGCCUUUAUCUGGGGGAUAGCCUUUCGUAGUGAAGAUUAAUACCCCAUAAUAUACUGGAUGGCAUCAUCUGGUAUUGAAAACUCCGGUGGAUAGAGAUGGGCACGCGCAAGAUUAGAUAGUUGGUGAGGUAACGGCUCACCAAGUCAGCGAUCUUUAGGGGGCCUGAGAGGAGGAUCCCCCACAAUGGUACUGAGACACGGACCAGACUCGUAAGGGAGGCAGCAGUGAGGAAUAUUGGACAAUGGGUGAGAGCCUGACCCAGCCAUCCCGCGUGAAGGACGACGGCCGUAUGGGUUGUAAACUUCUUUUGUAUAGGGAUAAACCUAGCUACGUGUAUCUAGCUGAAGGUACUAUACGAAUAAGCACCGGCUAACUCCGUG